AAUUUAUGAUUAUCUCUGUUUGUAUAAGAGUGUUGUAGGUUGAUAAUAAGAUGUUAACAGUCUCAUACUCGGAAUAUGUGGUAGAUUUGGGAGCGUGUUUUUUUUGUUGUGCCUAUUUUCUUUCGCCUAAAAAUAUCACGACCUUUUAUUAAUAAGUUAUGUGAAAGGGCAUGUAGGUUUUUCAUUAGUGUACGUCUAUACAAAUUAUGUGUUUCGAAUGAAGCCUUAGGUGUCACACAGAAGAGAACUUCAUUCCAUAUCGUUGUAAUCCGGCAAGUGUUGAACGCGGAAUUUCCAUGCUUUGUGGCAUGUAAUAUUUGGCGCCGGCCGUACACCUGCAAUAGUCAUAUGUGCAAUUCAGGCCCAGAAAUAUACUUACCCAUAUGUACAUGAACCUCAAAAAUCUUAUUUUAUCUUUUUAUUUUGAGAAAAAGUUCGUACAUAUCUAGUAAGUAGUGGGGCAAGUUCUUACUGAAGUGUUUUAUUUCUUUCCAAUACCGGGUCUCGCUGUGUACGACAUUGACUAAAUUUGGAAGUUUAAUUAUGUACAAUACUCGAUCGAGGGAUUGAGGUUGCUGUUUUGUGGGGAAUACACAUACACACCAACAUCGUUUUAUAACCUCAAUUUUGUAGCAGUCGGUGAUUGCCUCCAGUAAAUAGUAUAAUGCCAUCAGGCUGAUAACUCUCCAGUACAAGAAACCUGUCAUGGAAACAGGCUUCCUGAACUUUCAUGAUGAAGAACACUUCUCCACCGUACCAUCAAUGCUUUAUGAUCAGGAUGCCUUGGAAGAUUCUGAAGGCACUUUACUGGACAUGAUGCACGCUGAGUUUUCAUCAUACGAGAUUGCC
Non-coding RNA from Zootermopsis nevadensis, 849 nucleotides. Lineage: Eukaryota; Metazoa; Arthropoda; Insecta; Blattodea; Termopsidae. The record is from RefSeq and is a predicted model, not a curated record.